Pelobates cultripes (western spadefoot toad) is the source of this 225-nucleotide non-coding RNA. The record is from the annotation of a GenBank genome assembly. Lineage: Eukaryota; Metazoa; Chordata; Amphibia; Anura; Pelobatidae.
CCAACACGUGUCUAGGAUUUCCGAAUUCCUGGCGUGGAGCGCCGUCGGUGUCCAGUACCAUCUGGUGUAUAUUUUGUACUUGUUUUCUUGCAGCCUUGCCGAGCUAGGUGCUUUUUGUAUCAGGGUGAUGCUUUUGUCCCAGUCCGCUUCUGUCAUGGGUUCUUCUAGGUCUUCCUCCCAGUUUCUCAUGCAGGGGGGUGCCAGUAGGUACCUACCCGUAUCCAG